GGUCAACUGGUGUAGUGGUCAUCACGUCUGUCUUACAAUUUCACUGUAUAGUGUAUUGUGAGGACACAGAAGGUCGCAGGUUCGAUCCCUGCGUUGAUCA
Non-coding RNA from Daldinia grandis, 100 nucleotides. NCBI's taxonomy places the organism in Eukaryota, Fungi, Ascomycota, Sordariomycetes, Xylariales, Hypoxylaceae. The record is from the annotation of a GenBank genome assembly.